Molecule: ribosomal RNA, 254 nt
Filed under: uncultured bacterium
Lineage: Bacteria
Description: partial 16S ribosomal RNA
Rfam family: Bacterial small subunit ribosomal RNA
Source: RNAcentral
UACGGGGGGGGCAAGCGUUGUUCGGAAUUACUGGGCGUAAAGGGUUUGUAGGUGGCCAACUAAGUCAGACGUGAAAUCCCUCAGCUUAACUGGGGAACUGCGUCUGAGACUGGAUGGCUCGAGUGCAGGAGAGGAACGCGGAAUUCCAGGUGUAGCGGUGAAAUGCGUAGAUAUCUGGAGGAACACCGGUGGCGAAGGCGGCAUCCUGGACCAACACUGACGCUGAGUGAGCGAAAGCCAGGGGAGCAAACGGG